AUGCCUGCAUCCUUACUUUGGCAUAGGUGUCAAGCCACAAAUACUGGGCAGUUGCCUUAUCUAAAACACCAAGGAAUGAUGAGCUCAUUUCUACCUAAGAAAUACCAUGCCAAUGCCUUUGGGUUAACCUUACCUUCCCUUGACUUUAGGACAAAAGUAACUGUUGAACACCUAACAACCUCUAAGCAGUUUGUUAUGCCUCCUCUUGUGCCCGUCCACCAAUUAAAGACUUCAGUAAAACUCAAGAACCAUCAGGGGGCUACUUCAGGCACUGACCCACUCCCAAAGAUCUCACCAGGUCAUGACUAUCAGAGUAAGCAGAGGUUACCGUGCCUCAAACAUCAGCCCCAACCUCUGGCAUCCUCCAACCAUCGGGUUACAGCAGCUCCACCAUCCACAAAACGGAAGAGAUCCAAGACUAUGAAUGAACCCUCAGUGCCUCCUCACUCCCAGACCAGUUCCUCAUCAGUGCCAACAAGCAAGAGUCACAUAGCAGAAGUUCAUCGGAGUUGUAGACGCCAGCUCAAGAUUGCAACGGACCUGUUAGGAGGAUUUGACCUCUGGCCCAAGGAUGUUGUCAUAAAGCCACCUAGUCCUGAAGACCAUUCCAACACCACAGAUUCAGAAAAAACAUCAGACCAACCCUACCCUGAAAUACCCCCAAAACCUGUCCCAUUUUUAAAAUUCCUGAGUUCAAAGAAAGAACGACCUAUUCUCAGAACCUCGGAAACAAUUAUACUUUCUCUAAUCUUUAACAAUAAGUCCAGAGACAAGCCUGCACCUUCAUCAUUUGCCAAAUUUAUCAGUAGAGGCACAAACACAAAUGUACCAUGGCCUCAAAAUAAGAAUACAUCACCAGGUCCCAACCACCAGACCAGGCUAAAUGCUAGACCAUCACCAGAUUGGCCCUGGGCCAGAACAACAUCUGUUCCUUUUCUCCCUCCGAAAAUCUGGGAGACCUCCAUGCCCCAGACCACAGUUACAUGGCCUGACCACAUAGCUGAGGCUUCCCCAGGCCCUGAUUACAAGGUGAAAGACACAUUUGGGCCAUCACUACAUCCUGUCCGCCCAGUUAUAAUACCUUUACCAGGACGUAAUCAGAGUGGUGAGAUUCCACCAGGUAUAAAUGAUCAGGCCACAGAUCCUUGGGGACUGUAUUAUUGGUUUGAGGUUUCCAGGGGCCAAGGACAUCAAGAUUCAAGCUCAAUGAACCAGAGCAGUAAGCCUGAGGCAUCUGCCUCUAAAACACCAGUUGUAACAGUACCUCCCCUUAACAGAGUCCACACCUAG
This 1290-nucleotide long non-coding RNA is filed under the name Phascolarctos cinereus (koala). RNAcentral's name for it is "lncRNA (ENSPCIG00000016463.2)". Lineage: Eukaryota; Metazoa; Chordata; Mammalia; Diprotodontia; Phascolarctidae. The record is from RNAcentral.